Molecule: transfer RNA, 102 nt
Filed under: Pseudomonadota bacterium
Lineage: Bacteria; Pseudomonadati; Pseudomonadota
Description: tRNA-Ser
Source: RNAcentral
GCCUGACGGUGCUCGAAAAGUUUCGAUCGAUCUCCAUCGUCCCGCGUCAUUGCGGGGUUCCUAAUCCUGGGGCCGUGGGUUCGAAUCCCGCACGGGGCGCCA